This 3667-nucleotide long non-coding RNA is filed under the name Paramuricea clavata. The record is from RNAcentral. Lineage: Eukaryota; Metazoa; Cnidaria; Anthozoa; Malacalcyonacea; Plexauridae.
UAUCAAUGUACACAAGCCAAUCAAGUCUAUCCUUGGACAACCAAAAACAUUUCGCCAACAUGUUGUCAUUCUUGGACGUGUUCAUUUGGAUUUGCAGAUGAAGUACUUAAAAGGUCAGUUUAAUUAGUUUGUAUCAUAUUAACUAUAGGGGUGCACCGGAACCAAUUUUUUAAGUUCCAGCCGGAACCGGAUCCGACCGGAACUGGAAAAAAGUUCCGGCCGGAACCGGAACUAAUUUAUUAAGCCAUAUAUAGUCAUAUGUUACUUUGUCCGCUGCCAGACAGGCAGACACUUCAAGUCAUCAACGAGAGAGCUCGCAAAUGUUAGAAUAAAAAGAUUGACAAACGUUAAACGUCAUAAUGAAGUGUUAAUAGUGUACAUUUCCCUUUCGCAGUCCAACUUUCUUCUUACUGUGACCUUUUGUUGGACACAAAAACGUUUUAUAUAUUAUCUCUCUGAAAACGACAGAGUUCCGGUUCCGGCCAUGCUUUUUUUAUUAGUUCCGGCCGGAACUCUGAAAAAUCGGGUUUCCGGCCGGAACUAACCUGCCGGAACCGAGUUCCGGUGCACCCCUAAUUAACUAAUGACUAUUAUACUGUACAAAUGAUAUGAAAAUUUUCCUCCAAUCAUCCCCCUUUGGCACUGCCCCCACCCGCCUCUAUGUUUUCCAAGUCCGUUUCCAAAAGUAAAGAAAUAUACUCAAAUUCUUGUGGGUAGCCAAAAAUAUUUCUUUCAUCAAAUUAGGUUUUUUUAGGGAUUUUUUAGAGCUGUCCCAAAAACUCAAUCUCGAAUUGAGUUUUGAAACUCGAUCUUCUGACCAGAAGUUUCAUUGUGGUAAAAAUGAAGUUGUUUGAGUUACAUUUGUGACGUGUGGGAUUAAGUUUUCAGUUGGAAACCCGACGUCCUUUCGCAUUUUAAUAUUACAAAAAAAUUUAAAACAUGUGUUUAUCGGUCGAAAGUAAUUGUUUUGAUGAGAGAAAUGUUUCUUGACAUUUUUCAAAAAGUUUGAAAUAGUUUGGGGGCACUUUUUGAAUUUUUGAGAAAUUUCCUGUGAAUUUACCAAUGCAGCAUAUAAAUUAUAAAUUCUGAAUAAUAAUUGUGUAUGCCAAUAAGGCAAUGUGAAUUCUAUUGGCAUGCAAAAUUGUUAUUCAGAAUUUACAAUUUCUAUGCUGCAUCCGAUCUAUAUUUACCAAUCAGGGGAUUCUUUUGUAAAUACCCACUACCCAAAUAUUCAGAAGUCUUUACUUUCGUGCUAAAAUAGAAAUCGCAUUCCAGAGAAUAAAUUAAUAAAAUUAUAUUCAAAUUUAGGCAUUUUAGGGUGUGUUCUCCAUCUUUCGCCGUUGCCUUGUGUAGUCCUCGCCUGUUUGUGAAAAGAAGUACUUUAAUUAAAGAUCAAGAUACGACGCUUAAAUACAGGAAAGCACAAACUCCGAAGUUAAAGACAGGAUUAAGGUAUGUUUUAUCAAUUUCAUGUGAAAUGUUGAUAUAUUUUCCUGAGUGAAAAGUGGUUGAAAGUACUUGUCGAAAUUUACGAUCGCAAGUCGCUUUGUGUUCUACGUUUUGUGGUGGUUUAUAUAGAUACUGAAUUCAGUGGUGUAACAGAGGAACCCUUUGGCAUAUUUGGUGUGGGGGGCCCUGUUAACUGUUGUUAUUGUUUGCAUGAGAUGUUAUAUUUAGCUAUAUUCCCCUCUCUAUAACAAUCACAGCUCCAACACAACUAGGGAGCCGAUUAUCUGGAGCUCUUUCAACCCAGGGGUUGAACUAACCGGUUUGAAAUUUUUGUGAUUACAUGGAUGAUUUCGACCCCAGGGUUGAAAUGCUAUAUGUCCCUAGCAUUGAUUCCUGGAAGUACAAAAAUGGCUCCAUAGCCUCCAUUUUGUUUUCUUGUAACAAAUAGUCACUACCACGCAUGCUCGAGUAAGUAACUCAUUAAAAUUUUCAGCUCCGGGUUGAAACAUUUACAUGACAAAAUUUUCAACAAAGGGCAGAGUUUUCCCUGCUGGCAGAGGUCUCUAUUGGUAGGGACCUCUGCCAGCAGGGAGGGUUGAAUUUCAACCCCGGGGUUGAACUCAGUCCUGUGUUGAAAAUUUUGUAAUGUAAUUGUGUGUUUGAUUUUGAUAGAGUUUUGUAUUACAGACAGGGUUGAAAUUUCAACCCGGUCAACAGAGCUGGAUUCAGCCACGGGGUUGAAAAUGCUCCAUGUAAUCGGCCCCUAAUAAGAAUACCGUUUGUUUGAUUUAAGAUUUAUUAGAAAAUAUGGAGAUAGCGUAGCCAGGUUUAGACAUAAUUAAAAACAUAAACGUUCUCCGACUAAAAUGUUUAUUUAAAACGAGCUUUCGACUACCUAACUGUAGUCUUCGACGGGUAAAGCGGAAUGAAUCAUUCCGCUUUACCCGUCGAAGACUACAGUUAGGUAGUCGAAAGCUCGUUUUAAAUAAAAAUUUUAGUCAGAGAACGUUUAUGUUUUUAAUUAAGAUUUAUUAUUUAGCAUUAUUAAUUUUGCAUUUUCCCAUUGAUUCUUAACUUGCAUUUUUACAUCUUCUCAUUAGGACUGUUCGGUAUACCGAUAUACCGAAAAUAUCGGUAUUAAAUCAAUAUCGGUAUAUCGAUACCGGAUAUUCAACCAUACCGAUAUGCCGAAAUUUCGGAUAUACCGGAAUUUUUCCGUAUACCGCGUUAAAUUUACCAAUUAUAUGGCGAAACCAUAAACUUUAUUUUACUACUGAAUGGCAAUUCAAAGAACUUUCUACUGCAAUCAUUUAGAAUUUCCACUUCAGUGAGAUUUUACACUGAGUAUGUGCAUGUCGUUCGAAAUAUGUUCGAAACAGCUUCGGAAUUAUCGUUUUCCCUUUUAGAAUUACUCAAAAUUUCCUUCAAACUUCCAUUAAAGAAUUUUCCUUUAUAAUUAUCAAAGGAAAACCGGUAUAUUGAUAAUAUCGGUAUAAUUUUUUCGGUAUACCGAUACCGGAAAUUUCUCAUACCGAACAUUCCUACUUCUCAUUUUCUGGGCGACAGGUCGUGGCUGUUAGGGGGGGGGGGGGGGUAACNNNNNNNNNNNNNNNNNNNNGGGGCUAACUGUCGGCCCCUAAUUUGAACUAACCCUACCUAAUGAGCGUUACACCACUGACCGAAUUAUACCUUGACGUUUCGUCAAGUUUAAUUCAAAUUAGGGUAUUUUGAAGCUAAAUUUGUUUUUUAAAUUCGUCCUUUUAGUGAAAACAAGAAAUGUUGAAUAGUCUGCUGCGAGGAGACAUCGGCCAUUGUAAUGAAUGGAUGAUAAUGUGAGUCGCUGGCAAACCUACAGCCCCUACUGCGAUAGGCAGUCAAGUAUUUUUAACCGGCACAUUUCUGUUUUUAUUUCCCCUAUUUUAUUUUAUGUUCAUAAAUAUCAUGACUCAUGACUUUAAUGUUGGAAGGAGUUCCCACUCAACUGCAUGCCUUCUGAAUAAUAAUUAUAGACUCCAUUUUACAUGCUACCAUUUUACCUGUGAGAAUUUUUUGAGAUUUGAAAGCUAUUGCUUUCAACUAUAUAGAGCCCAACUAUAUGUCAUUUGCUCUGGGAAUAAAUGGGUGUACUGUUUGUACAUGUUGAAUGGCUGGAAGUGUUGCAGGUACCUUGGGAUAUCUAAUAAAGUUGUUAUAUUUCCGUUCUGUUUCUAUAAAGGCC